GUGCCUGUAUAUAUGUCGCACGCGCAGUAUUAAAUAAAAUUUAAACACCGGACGGGAAAAAUGCACAAAACGGCGACAAAAUCGAGAACAAAACUGCCAGAGUGACCGUGUACGCGCACUGAGAACAUACCACAGCACCCAGAAGCCUUAACAGUUAAGGGAAGCACUUGUUAAAUUCAUAAAAUGGCUCGCAGGCUUUUAUUGAACCAAAUAUUUAUCAAAAUAAGGUGAAGUUUCCGUAAAGCAUGAAAUUUGUAGUUAUUAUAAAUAUGUAUAUUAUUAUAAAUUUAUUAAGU
Molecule: non-coding RNA, 296 nt
Organism: Drosophila melanogaster (fruit fly)
Lineage: Eukaryota; Metazoa; Arthropoda; Insecta; Diptera; Drosophilidae
Source: Ensembl